This is a long non-coding RNA of Diceros bicornis minor, 1274 nucleotides long. RefSeq lists it as uncharacterized. The record is from RefSeq and is a predicted model, not a curated record. The transcript is spliced from 3 exons. NCBI's taxonomy places the organism in Eukaryota, Metazoa, Chordata, Mammalia, Perissodactyla, Rhinocerotidae.
AUCCAUCCACAAAGUUCUCUCUCUACAGUGCCCCUCAGACCCAGUCUCCCACCCUCCUUGUCCGGGUGACGCCUGCUCCAUCAUCUCUAAUCCAGAGACAUCCUGCCAACAUCCCUGCUCCCAAUCCCUCUCUCAUCUGCUGUCCAUUCUACUCAUCACUGCUGGAACGUUGGUCCUCGAGCACCCAGGUCGGUAGCAGUUUCUCAGCCUCUGACUCCCGACCAUGAUCUUCCAGGCAAGGACCUCUCUUGCCAGCAAUCCCAGCCAACUCUCUGCUCCUCUCUCAAACUUCUUAUUGAAGUGGAAGGGGAAGACUGCCUUGGAUUUUAAUCCUGGUUCUGCCACGUGAUAACUGUGUGGCCUUUGACAAAUUACUUAACAUCUCUGAGACUUGAUUUUUUCAUCUGAGAGGGGUAACAUGUCUCUAUGACCGGUUCUUGGUGAGGAUCAAAUGAGAUAGUAUGUGUAAUAAAGCUGGCACAUUGCUCAUCAAUUGCUUCAUCAAUGUUUCUCCCCUUCCCUUCCUUCCACCCCUACUGCCCAGUGCUGGGCUUUGCAGAGUGGCCUUUCCAUAAGUGCCUUUGCCUGAUGGUUUCCUACAACUCAAUCAAAGUCACCUCAGAGGUCUGCAGCUAAUCGUCCAAGCUUGUGGAUUUGGGUGCUUUCUGGGAUUCUCGGUUGAUGACAAGUGCUGUGGCCAAUACCAAAGGAGCGUAAGAUGUCCCCACCAGAUGCACACUCUUCCUUCCCUUUAUCAUCCUCAAAGUUUUUCUCGAAUCCCUGCUUUGAAGACCACCAUGGCCUGAAGGGAAGGUGCCUUCCUUUGAAACUUCAAGGUGAAUCCAGAACAACUAGGAACCAGAGAGGAUGAGUCAAUGACCAACUGUGAGAAACCACUGCCAUAAAACAGAGCUUCUGAAGAACCAUCUUAAGGGGGCUGAGGCUCCUACCCUGGAGGUCUCUUUUCCAGACCCCACUCCCAAUUUGGGAUCUCCCAAAAAGUGUGUUUGCUUUUGUGUGCACAUGAUCUCUAAGAGAGUUUGCUAAACUACUUGAAGGAAUCACUUACUACUACCUCCAUUUAUUCACCACCCGCUUCCUCCUUAAUCCAUGACAACCUGACUUCCAUCAGACCAGUCACCCAAUCACCCAAUACUGGAUGCUCCAAAUAGAAACAGUUAUCUUCCUCACUUUGCAUAGUCAUGCUUCUCUUGAAAUAUACACAUGUUGUGAAAGGACUCUAGAAAUAAAUCUUUGCUCGAUAAAAUUCUCUA